RNAcentral lists this long non-coding RNA (2068 nucleotides) under Heterocephalus glaber (naked mole-rat). RNAcentral's name for it is "lncRNA (ENSHGLG00100033439.1)". Lineage: Eukaryota; Metazoa; Chordata; Mammalia; Rodentia; Bathyergidae. The record is from RNAcentral.
GCAGCAGAAAGCCUGGAUCUGAGCCCUCCAAAGUCAGGGGUAUCCUGCUGUAAACCAAAGUGGAACAACAGCAAACUCGAAAACAAUCAGCCUGUUUUUCCACUCUGUUCUCUGAAGCAAUAGAAAAGUUUUAACUUUUGGCCCUCACUUUUUUGUCAGCUCUGCUUGGCUAGGGCUCAAGUCACUGUUGGGUAACCCAGAAGAAUGUGACAUCACUAACCCCAUGACAUCAUUCUAUCUGGCUUGUCAUUACCCUGUGACAUCACCCACCUGCGCAGUGGCAUCCUCACAUCCUGUUCCAUGUCUUGACCCCGUGGAGUCACUUUAUGUGACCUCCUCGCCUGCCCACUGGCCUGGGACAUCUGCCUCUCUGCAGCCCAGUGCCCACCAGGUGGGGAGCUCGUCCGGCCCUGCUCCGCAGGCCCACGCUAGACGCUGCUCCGAGCUCGUGGACGGGCGAUUUCCAGCGCGAAGGCGCUGCGCAAGGUCCUGAGUUCGAUCCCCGGUACCAAAAAAAGAAAGAAAGAAGGAAAAAAAGCCGAGCGCCUUGCUGCACACCCCAGACAAGUGCUGCUGCGCGGCGGAGCCCUGCAAGCGCUCCCGCCGCUCGGAACUGGCGAAGACUGACGCCCUGGAGGUGACCGUAGGACGCCUGCGCGACCUGCGCCCCCGCAGGUGACCGGCGAGGCGCGGCCGGGCGUGCUGGGAGGCAGGAGGGGCGAGGGUCUCCGCCGGGGCGUCCCCUCCAGUCCCCGCCGCUCUGCAGCCAGACUCCGCACUGACCUCGCCUUCCUGGGCAAGCGUCGCGCCGCUCCACCGGCCCUGGCCAAGCCGCUUCCUGACCGGCUGCGAGGGCGUCUGCCGUGCCACUUGGCUGCCAGCCUCCCGGCUCUGCGCGAGGCUCCCGCGGUGCCCAAGCUGGGGCUGCAGGCCGGGGCGGGCCCGGGGGGCCGUGGAUGAGCUGCGCCCGGUCCUAGAGUGCGGGCUUGGCCGACUGUACUGAGCCGGAAAACGAUUUCCGAGCAAAAAAGGUUUUUCCUGCGGCUAGCUGACCUAACUGACAAAGAGCCACCCUCAGUUCCCCAAGUGUCUGUAUCCAGUGUACUUGUCUAUCAAAUCAUGUAAAAGAAAUGUAACGUCCUCCACCAAUGAACUGAUGAUAAAUGCCUUGCUUCUGUAUCCCCACUCCCCUUCCUUAACCCAUAUAAACCCUGUUCACUGCCGGCUCCGGGCGGAUCGCUUCGUGGAGAAAUCCUGCUCAGUCCGCCGCGUAAUAAAUUUGGCCCCAGCCUCCGGUGCGUUCUCCAUUCUUCUUGGCCUGGUCUUGCUAUACACUAAGAGCUGCCACACUGUGGACUGUAAGCCUACCGUUAUAGUACCACAGUGUAUUUAACUCCAGAGGCCCGCCUUGUCUUUUUGGGGGUUUUCUUUGUGAAUAGUCUUGUUCCUAAGAGCCUGCACACUCAGUCCCAGGAAGGCUGCGAGUCUCACGCUGGCCCUACGAAACCCUUACCCUAGGCCCCGCCCCUUCCCUAGGCCCCGCCCCUCCGGGCUUUGUCCCGCCCAGCUGGGUCCGCCCUUCCCUGGCACCGCCCCUAGCCCGGGCCUGUUGAAGCUCCGCCUCGGUCCGGGAGAUCUAGAUUUCCAGGUUCACCGAUGGAACCCAGGGCCCACCUUGGGGUGGCCCUAGGGUGUGAUGUUCCAGGAGGCAGGCAGGAAGGUGACAGCCACCAAGCUUUCCAGGAUGUAUCUCAGUGGUGGAAGGUGCUUAAAGGUUCAACUCCAAAUACCAGCCCCCCAAUAAAUACCACCCCUUUCAAAUGUCCAUCACCUGAUGAAUGGAUAGAUUGUGACGUAUCCUUACAACAGGAUAUUAUUUGACAAUAAAAAGGAAUGAGAAACUGGUACAUACUGUUGUGAGACUCUAAAAGACGAGAGACUGGGCGGGGAUUUAGCGCGAGUGGUUCCACGCCAGAUUCACAGGCACAAGGUCCCGAGUUCGAUCCCCGAUACCAAAAAAUAAAUGGGGGGGCUGGGGAUUCAGCUCAGUGGUUUCACUUCCUGCUGC